RNAcentral lists this long non-coding RNA (833 nucleotides) under Cercocebus atys (sooty mangabey). RNAcentral's name for it is "lncRNA (ENSCATG00000045566.1)". Lineage: Eukaryota; Metazoa; Chordata; Mammalia; Primates; Cercopithecidae. The record is from RNAcentral.
GUCAAUGUUUGUGUGUGUGAUUUUUGUUUUAAUUGUUUUUGUUUUUAUUCUCAAAUGAAAGUACCCUGCCAGUAAUCAUUGGUGUUUUGGGAAGACAGCCGGAAGCAGUGCCGUCUCCGUACCUUGGAGUGAAUGGGCUUUAUGUCCAGGCAGCCAUCUGUGGAAGUGGGAGCCUGGAGCCAGAUCUUGAAGCUACCUGUGCAUGCUAGAGUCAUUUGUGGCUUGCCCCGGAGUUCCUUCUUCACCUCUCAUCCAGAUUUGGCUUUGUCUGCCCUUCUACUUUUGGAACAGCCACUUCCUCUAACCAGGCCCAUGUUGCUUCCACCGGGGAUGCUAGACCUGCAAUUGUUUGAAGGUGACACCACUGAAGUAACAAGAGAAAAUAUUAUUUUAAUCAUGGGCAGAGUUUCAACCAUUCAGUAAAGACACAGUGAACAUCAGCAAUGAGGGAAGCCCUAAACCAGGCACCUGAGUUAUAACACUGGACUAUGACAAGCGGAAACGCACCCAUCCCAUCUGAACAGCAUAUGGCCAGUUACCUGCCGUGACAUCCAGAGGGAAAGCCUGUAAACACACUUUCUCACUUAGGAACUGGUCAUCUACCACCCUGAAAGAUUUUUCAGGGGAUUUGUGAGUUAAUGUUUACCAACUGCUUUAAUAUUCUCGGAUUAAAAAUGGAACAUCAGAACGAAGAGGCUGUGCUGGAAUUUGGAGGCCAUUCAAAAAUCCAGCCCAGCAAGUCUAAUGGUUUGUUUUCAACAUUUAUUUAACGUCCUUCUGCUAUCAAGAAACCUGAGAGCCCUCUGAGGAAGUUUAUACUGAAGGAAAUGGAG